AGUGUAUAUCAAUCAUGAGGCCAUUUAAUGUAUUCUGAUAGCCACUGGUUUUAUUUCAGUAGGAAGCACUUCAAAAAAGAUAGAGCCUGGGAACCACACAAUGGUAACAGAGUUCAUUAUUUUGGGGCUAACUGAGGUCCCCACCCUUUGUUGUAUCUUCUUUGUGUUGUUCCUGGGUGUCUACAUCACCACCAUAUUGGGCAAUGUCAGCAUAAUCAUGUUGAUCAGAAGAAGCCCUCAGCUUCACACCCCAAUGUACCUUUUCCUCAGCCACUUGGCCUUUGUGGACAUUGGGUACUCCAGCUCAGUCACACCUGUCAUGAUUGUGAGUUUGCUGAGAGAGAGAACUGCCAUCCCUGUGGCUGGUUGCAUAGUCCAGCUUGGCUCUGAUGUGGUCUUUGGGACUGCUGAGUUCUUCCUGCUGGCUGCCAUGGACUAUGAUCGCUAUGUGGCCAUCUGCUCACCCCUGCUCUACUCCACUCUCAUGUCUCCCAAGGUCUGCCUCAUCUUAUUGGUUAUUUCCUACAUGGGUGGAUGUGUGAAUUCUUCAUCAUGUACCAGUUGUUUAUUGAGCCUGACUUUUUGUGGACCAAAUAAAGUCAACCAUUUCUUCUGUGAUCUCCCACCACUGGUGGAGCUUUCCUGUACCCAUGUUUAUGUUGCUGAAAUGUCUCCUGCCAUCUCAGCAGGCUCCAUCAUCGUCAUCACCCUGUUCGUAAUCAUUAUUUCAUAUGUCUACAUCCUUCACUCCAUCCUCAGGAUGCACUCUACUGAGGGCAGGCACAAAGCCUUCUCCACCUGUACCUCCCACCUCACUGCAGUCACCUUGUUUUAUGGGACAGUUACAUUUGUUUAUGUCAUACCAAAGUCAAGCCACUCGCCCAACCAAAUUAAAGUGGUGUCUGUGUUCUACACAGUGGUGAUCCCCAUGCUGAAUCCCUUGAUCUACAGUCUGAGGUACAAGGAGGUAAAAGAGGCCAUGAGGAAAUUGAUGGCGAAAACACAUUCCUCAUUUUGUUUUUUUUUUUUUUUUUUUUUUUUUUUUUUUUUUUUUUUUUUCCAUUUUUUAUUAGGUAUUUAGCUCAUUUACAUUUCCAAUGCUAUACCAAAAGUCCCCCUUACCCACC
Mus musculus (house mouse) is the source of this 1127-nucleotide RNA transcript. It is a transcript of the gene named olfactory receptor family 5 subfamily P member 5C, pseudogene 1, with no coding region annotated. The record is from RefSeq and is marked validated. Lineage: Eukaryota; Metazoa; Chordata; Mammalia; Rodentia; Muridae. The transcript has a single exon.